GAUAAGCCAAAGAUCGAGAAAAGUAGUAAAGAUGACACAUGGCUAGAGAGGAAAUGUCUUAGGCUGAAAGCAUUUCUACAUGAUGACUUUAUGAAAGAACACUCAGGAGGCUUCACUCUGAAAAGGGAAACUUAGUAGGAGAUGAACGUGUUCGUGCGUUAACGAAAUGAGUGGAAACAUGUCAUAUGUUUCAAUUAGGGUGGUACCACGUGAGAUUAACUCUCGUCCCUACU
Molecule: non-coding RNA, 233 nt
Filed under: Priestia megaterium
Lineage: Bacteria; Bacillati; Bacillota; Bacilli; Caryophanales; Bacillaceae
Description: Bacillus megaterium T-box sequence
Rfam family: T-box leader
About the family: Uncharged tRNA acts as the effector for transcription antitermination of genes in the T-box leader family.
Source: RNAcentral